AUAUUUAAUUCUUUAAACUCAAGCUCGGUGUACGAAUUUGUCUUAAAAAGCUAUAACGAGUAAAAGCAUCUCUUCCAGAUUUCCAGAAAGGAAUCCUAAUCGAAAUGGUUAUUGAGUAUAUACUGUUGUCAGAAGACGGUUACACAUUUUACAAAAAAGUUUGAUGAAGAACGGUAAGUGAACAUUUUUAUGACGGCCCGCGGCAAGGAGAGACUGAUAUAUCAUGAUUUUACGUAUUAUAAGCAAAGCAGGACAAGAAACGGUUUUAGAUGGGGAUGUACCAAAAACAGAUGGCACAAAUGCAAAGCUUAUUUACAUUUAGCG
Molecule: unclassified non-coding RNA, 324 nt
Filed under: Melitaea cinxia (Glanville fritillary)
Lineage: Eukaryota; Metazoa; Arthropoda; Insecta; Lepidoptera; Nymphalidae
Description: misc RNA ENSMCXG00005019488.1
Source: RNAcentral